This 205-nucleotide unclassified non-coding RNA is filed under the name plant metagenome. RNAcentral's name for it is "partial contains small subunit ribosomal RNA, internal transcribed spacer 1, and 5.8S ribosomal RNA". The record is from RNAcentral.
GUAGGUGAACCUGCGGAAGGAUCAUUACAGUGUUCCCUGCCCUCACGGGUAGAAACGCCCACCCUUUGUGUAAUAUAUCUUGUUGCUUUGGCAGGCCGCCUCUUUGGCGUCGGCUUCGGCUGACUGCGCCUGCCAGAGGACCCAAACUCGUUUGUUUAGUGAUGUCUGAGUACUAUAUAAUAGUUAAAACUUUCAACAACGGAUC